Non-coding RNA from Paramuricea clavata, 275 nucleotides. The record is from the annotation of a GenBank genome assembly. NCBI's taxonomy places the organism in Eukaryota, Metazoa, Cnidaria, Anthozoa, Malacalcyonacea, Plexauridae.
GCUGAACUGAGUCUGUGAGCAUAUGCUUUUCGCGCGAAUUAAAUCGGCUAUCAUCAGUUUCACUGGGUAACAAUAUACGGUAGGCAUGCAUGCUCAAUCAAAAACAAUUUGGUUGUUUGAAAUUUUUAUCUGUAAAUUUUAAUGACACACAAUUGGAAAAUUAAAAAGCAAAAAUUUUUCUGUUUGCAAAGCAAAAAUUUCCCGCCAGAUAAACGACAUCCGGGACACCGGUACAGAAACGGAAAAUAUGGACCACGGUCCGGAUAUGGGUUUUU